UACGAAGGGGGGUAGCGUUGCUCGGAAUUACUGGGCGUAAAGCGCGCGUAGGCGGACCUGCAAGUCGGGGGUGAAAGCCCGAGGCUCAACCUCGGAACUGCCUUCGAUACUGCGGGUCUCGAGUCCGGGAGAGGUGAGUGGAAUUCCUAGUGUAGAGGUGAAAUUCGUAGAUAUUAGGAAGAACACCAGUGGCGAAGGCGGCUCACUGGCCCGGUACUGACGCUGAGGCGCGAAAGCGUGGGGAGCAAACAGG
This 253-nucleotide ribosomal RNA is filed under the name uncultured bacterium. RNAcentral's name for it is "partial 16S ribosomal RNA". It matches the Rfam family "Bacterial small subunit ribosomal RNA", at positions 524 to 776 of the family's 1533-position model. The record is from RNAcentral.